CGAAGAACUUCUUAGCUCCUCCUCGUUCAUCCCUCUUGUCAAACUUCUCUCUCUACCAACUUGUUCCUGCUCUGACUUCCAUCUAAGCUCACAUUUCUUGGCUGUCUAAAAAAUGAGAGCUCAAAGGGUCCUUAUAUAGGACUUCCCAAGCUUCCUCACCAAGUUGGACACUUAAUGUUUGUUUCCUUAUUUGGCUUCGUCAAAGAUCACCAUCAAUAACUUGAUGGAUCUAUACAAUAUUUUCCUUAUAAGUUUCAGCAUACCCGACCUUCCUUCAAUAAUCCUGCAGUAAUCAUUAACCAAACCUUCUUUGAUUUGAACCCGCAAAGUCCUAUAGUUGAACAUUACUUAAUUAUUUUAGCGG
Molecule: long non-coding RNA, 364 nt
Filed under: Brassica napus (rape)
Lineage: Eukaryota; Viridiplantae; Streptophyta; Magnoliopsida; Brassicales; Brassicaceae
Description: long non-coding RNA (BNAP_LNC013629)
Source: RNAcentral